AGGACGAACGCUGGCGGCGCGCUUAACACAUGCAAGUCGAGCGAGAACCAGGACUUCGGUCCUGGGGACAGCGGCGAACGGGUGAGUAACACGUGGAUAACCUGCCCUCGGCACCGGGAUAGCCCGAGGAAACUCGGAUUAAUACCGGAUAGCCCUUCCGACUCUCGAGUCGGUCCGAAAAGGUAGCUUCGGCCUCUGGCCGAGGAUGGGUCCGCGGCGGAUUAGCUUGUUGGUGGGUAACGCCUACAAGGCUUCGAUCCGUAGCUGGUCUGAGAGGACGAUCAGCCACACUGGGACUGAGACACGGCCCAGACUCCUACGGGAGGCAGCAGUGGGAAUAUUGCACAAUGGGCGAAAGCCUGAUGCAGCGACGCCGCGUGAGGAUGACGGCUUCGGUGUAAACCUCUUUCAGCAGGAAGAAGCGAAAGUGACGGUACUGCAGAAGAAGCACCGGCUAACGUACGUGCCAGCAGCCGC
Molecule: ribosomal RNA, 477 nt
Filed under: uncultured soil bacterium
Lineage: Bacteria
Description: bacterial SSU rRNA
Rfam family: Bacterial small subunit ribosomal RNA
Source: RNAcentral